UUAAAAAGCUCGUAGUUGAAUUUCGGGAUCAGAUUGUCGGUCGUGCCUCGGUACGCACUGGCAUUAUUGGUUCCUACCUUCUGAAGAACCGCGAUGUCAUUAAUUUGGUGUCGUGGGGAAUCAGGACUGUUACUUUGAAAAAAUUAGAGUGUCUAAAGCAGGCGCACGCUUGAAUACAUUAGCAUGGAAUAAUGAAAUAGGACGUUUGAUUCUAUUUUGUUGGUUUCUAGGAUCGACGUAAUGAUUAAUAGGGAUAGUUGGGGG
RNAcentral lists this ribosomal RNA (264 nucleotides) under uncultured Glomus. Its description in RNAcentral is "partial 18S ribosomal RNA". It matches the Rfam family "Eukaryotic small subunit ribosomal RNA", at positions 619 to 888 of the family's 1831-position model. The record is from RNAcentral. Lineage: Eukaryota; Fungi; Glomeromycota; Glomeromycetes; Glomerales; Glomeraceae.